AGAGUUUGAUCCUGGCUCAGAUUGAACGCUGGCGGCAUGCCUAACACAUGCAAGUCGAACGGCAGCACAGCAGAGCUUGCUCUGUGGGUGGCGAGUGGCGGACGGGUGAGUAAUGCAUCGGGACCUACCUCAACGUGGGGGAUAACGUAGGGAAACUUACGCUAAUACCGCAUACGUCCUACGGGAGAAAGCAGGGGACCUUCGGGCCUUGCGCGGUGAGACGGACCGAUGUUCGAUUAGCUAGUUGGUGAGGUAAUGGCUCACCAAGGCGACGAUCGAUAGCUGGUCUGAGAGGAUGAUCAGCCACACUGGAACUGAGACACGGUCCAGACUCCUACGGGAGGCAGCAGUGGGGAAUAUUGGACAAUGGGCGCAAGCCUGAUCCAGCAAUGCCGCGUGUGUGAAGAAGGCCUUCGGGUUGUAAAGCACUUUUAUCGGGAGCGAAAUACCAUUGGCUAAUAACCAGUGGGGCUGACGGUACCCGAGGAAUAAGCACCGGCUAACUUCGUGCCAGCAGCCGCGGUAAUACGAAGGGUGCAAGCGUUAAUCGGAAUUACUGGGCGUAAAGGGUGCGUAGGCGGUUUGUUAAGUCUGUCGUGAAAUCCCCGGGCUCAACCUGGGAAUGGCGAUGGAUACUGGCAAGCUAGAGUGUGUCAGAGGAUGGUGGAAUUUCCGGUGUAGCGGUGAAAUGCGUAGAGAUCGGAAGGAACAUCAGUGGCGAAGGCGGCCAUCUGGGACAACACUGACGCUGAAGCACGAAAGCGUGGGGGAGCAAACAGGAUUAGAUACCCUGGUAGUCC
RNAcentral lists this ribosomal RNA (800 nucleotides) under uncultured bacterium. RNAcentral describes it as "bacterial SSU rRNA". It matches the Rfam family "Bacterial small subunit ribosomal RNA", at positions 8 to 796 of the family's 1533-position model. The record is from RNAcentral.